ACUCUUUCGUGGGGCUUCUUGCUCCAAAUAUGGAAGCUAGAGUGGUAGAUUGGGUUACCGGUUCCUUCUUGCCUACUAGGAGGAGCGGUGAACUUUGGUUAAGAGGACCUGCUAUUAUGAAAGCAAAAGUUUUUCAAUAUUAUGUGUUAUAAAAUUCCAGCAACAUUUUUAUUUUUAAGAUUGUAUUUUGUUCGCUGCUCAUCUUUACUUUUUUCUAGGUAAAUCAGCAUGUCGUCAAUUGUAUUAUUGUUUCUCGUAACUGAACUUAAGAAAAGUUGAGGCUUGAACAAAUUUCUGUUCAAUCCAUGCCACGUUUUGUUUAAUGAAGAAUUGGACAAAUUUUCAUCUCCAUAUGGAAUUGAACAACCUUUCAACUCCACCUGUCAUGGGAUCGAAUUACAAGCCUGUGCCAAUUUUAGUAUAUUUCCCUCUUUAUAAGGAAGAGAUGUGGAUGGAUUUGUCCUGCCAAGUUCGAAACUGUAUUGGUAACCUGUCCUGAUAUAUUUGAUGCUGGAGUAACAAUGUUGCACAAUAUAAGAAGUGAGGAAGGUGGUGUUCGCAAAGUCAAUACCUAGGUCAGCGGCUGGAAAGAUUCUCCGAGGGGAACUGAAGAGCUUGAUUCCCAAAAUUUAAAGACUAUUGGGACAUGCCCAGUUCCGAGUAGAGGUAAAAUAAUCGUUUAAGUUACUACUGGAAACCAAAAUGUUGCUCAAAGGGCAAAGCUCAGGCAGAGAUAGACCGAUCACAUUCUGUCAUCGAGAAGUUGAUGUGUCGACUAAUCUGGUUAAAUUGAAUGAGCAUUGCAUUAAAUCGCAAUAAAAUUAUAUAAAAUUUUGGGGAAUAUUGUGUUCCAAGUCAACGUGACUGGGUUGUGUCUCUUUUAAUUAGUUGUGAGUCUGAAAUUUGCCUGAUGAGAAUCACAUGACAAAAUACUUCCUUUUAAUUUUAUUUUGACAUUGGAGUCCAUAAACUAAGUACAAAGUGGGAGGGAAAGCUCAGCAAGAGUAAGGUGGAAUGGUGGAUGAUAGACGUACUCAAUAUAUUCAAUUCAGGAAUUGGAAGGUAUGCUUGGGGGGCGAUAGUUUGUAUCCCCUUUUUAUUGUGUGGAGAGAGGGAUAAAGGCAGGAGGAAGGUGGCUGUUUGAGUGUACAAGGUUCACCCUUUUAAAGCGCUUAUGCUUGUAUUUUUUCAUUCUACUGCCAAUAGUUGACAGGUUAGUCAUGUUCACAUGUUUACAGUUAGUAGUAGAACUUCAUCUCUUCUGUAUAUUUUGGAGUAUAACUUUUUUUUCUCUGCUGCAACUUGCUAUAUUAGCUUUACCAGAUCUACGUGUGAAUCGUCUACACAAUGGAUCAACUAUACUAGAUAAGCAUUCAAGACAUACCCAAGUCUUUCUUCACCAAUUCAUUUGUUUAAUUAUUUCAUGGUAGAAAACCUCUUUUAAGUGAUAGACAUGGAAACCGAACUGUUGCCUAAUUUAAAUUUCAGCCUUUUCGGUUGCUCUAGAAUGCCAUGUAUAUUCAACAUGACAAAUUGGGCUUAUUUUCCUGUUGAAUGCAUAAUAACAUAUGUUAGGAGCUAAUUCUUAUUCCAAAUCAAUUUUGGCAGCUACUCAAUUUGCAAAUUGUUCGUACUUUGCUAGAAGAAUUAGAAUCGUCCCCAAAUCUUUUAUCAUAUUCGUCCCGAAAUCUUGAAUCAAGAAAAAUUGGAGAAAAAAAAAGUGAUGUAAUUAACAACCCCAAGAUAUGCACACAUACAUAAAUAUGCAAUAAAUCUAUGGUUAUGUAGGUAAGUAUAUAAAUGCGGCAGACUAUGUUGGGCCCGGCCCUCUGGCCCUGGUUUCCCAAGCUCCGAGAUUUGAAACUUUUAUUUUGUAUAUACCUGAUUUUGAAUAUUAUUAAUAUUUUUUUUGAAAAAGAUUGAUACUUAUUCGUUUAUAACUACUUAUAAUUUUAAUAAUUUGACUUGAUUUGAUUUAGAAACUGGUUAUUUUAUAUUCUUAUUUUUUAAUUUUUUAAUAAAUAAAAAAUAAACACGUGACAGUUGAAGUGGUCUAAAGGAAAUCCAAAAUGAUUGGUAUGGUUUAACUGCAUUACGCUAUAAUUAUUUCAAUGUACAAAUGUAAUGUAUUGGAAAGUAUAAAUUUCAUGAUUUAUUAGAAUAUGUUUCGAUAAAAAAUAUAUGUAUUUAUUAAGUUGGCUAUUCGGG
Molecule: long non-coding RNA, 2208 nt
Organism: Rhododendron vialii
Lineage: Eukaryota; Viridiplantae; Streptophyta; Magnoliopsida; Ericales; Ericaceae
Exons: 3
Source: RefSeq, a predicted model, not a curated record